This 65-nucleotide transfer RNA is filed under the name Dipodomys ordii (Ord's kangaroo rat). It matches the Rfam family "tRNA". From Rfam's summary of the family: Transfer RNA (tRNA) molecules are approximately 80 nucleotides in length. Their secondary structure includes four short double-helical elements and three loops (D, anti-codon, and T loops). Lineage: Eukaryota; Metazoa; Chordata; Mammalia; Rodentia; Heteromyidae. The record is from Rfam by way of RNAcentral.
GGUGGCUCAAUGGUAGAGCGCUUGCCUCACAAACAUGAGGUCCUGGGUUCGAUUCCUCAGCACCA